This 434-nucleotide ribosomal RNA is filed under the name uncultured bacterium. RNAcentral describes it as "bacterial SSU rRNA". It matches the Rfam family "Bacterial small subunit ribosomal RNA", at positions 29 to 507 of the family's 1533-position model. The record is from RNAcentral.
AGCGAACGCUGGCGGCAGGCCUAACACAUGCAAGUCGAACGGACCCUUCGGGGUUAGUGGCGGACGGGUGAGUAACACGUGGGAACGUGCCUUUAGGUUCGGAAUAGCUCCUGGAAACGGGUGGUAAUGCCGAAUGUGCCCUUCGGGGGAAAGAUUUAUCGCCUUUAGAGCGGCCCGCGUCUGAUUAGCUAGUUGGUGGGGUAAUGGCCCACCAAGGCUACGAUCAGUAGCUGGUCUGAGAGGAUGACCAGCCACAUUGGGACUGAGACACGGCCCAAACUCCUACGGGAGGCAGCAGUGGGGAAUCUUGCGCAAUGGGCGAAAGCCUGACGCAGCCAUGCCGCGUGUAAUGAUGAAGGUCUUAGGAUUGUAAAAUACUUUCACCGGUGAAGAUAAUGACUGUAGCCGGAGAAGAAGCCCCGGCUAACUUCGUG